This 434-nucleotide ribosomal RNA is filed under the name uncultured bacterium. Its description in RNAcentral is "partial 16S ribosomal RNA". It matches the Rfam family "Bacterial small subunit ribosomal RNA", at positions 29 to 507 of the family's 1533-position model. The record is from RNAcentral.
AGCGAACGCUGGCGGCAGGCCUAACACAUGCCAGUCGAACGAACCUUUCGGGGUUAGUGGCGGACGGGUGAGUAACACGUGGGAACGUGCCUUUAGGUUCGGAAUAACUCAGGGAAACUUGUGCUAAUACCGAAUGUGCCCUUCGGGGGAAAGAUUAAUCGCCUUUAGAGCGGCCCGCGUCUGAUUAGCUAGUUGGUUGAGGUAAUGGCUCACCAAGGCGACGAUCAGUAGCUGGUCUGAGAGGAUGAUCAGCCACAUUGGGACUGAGACACGGCCCAAACCCAGCCGGGGGGAAGCGGGGGGAAUUCUGGCGAAAGGGGAGAGACCUGGACAACCCCAUGCCGGGUAAAGAAAAAGGGUCUUGGGAUUGAAAAUUUUUUCCCCGGGGGCCGAUAAUGACGGUCCCGGGGGAAGAACCCCCGGCUAACUCCGUG